Molecule: ribosomal RNA, 496 nt
Filed under: uncultured bacterium
Lineage: Bacteria
Description: partial 16S ribosomal RNA
Rfam family: Bacterial small subunit ribosomal RNA
Source: RNAcentral
AUUGAACGCUGGCGGCAUGCUUUAUACAUGCAAGUCGAACGGUAGAGGGGGCAACCCCUUGAGAGUGGCGAACGGGUGAGUAAUGCAUCGGAACGUGCCCAGUAGUGGGGGAUAGCCCGGCGAAAGCCGGAUUAAUACCGCAUACGACCUUAGGGUGAAAGCGGGGGAUCGCAAGACCUCGCGCUAUUGGAGCGGCCGAUGUCAGAUUAGGUAGUUGGUGGGGUAAAGGCCUACCAAGCCGACGAUCUGUAGCUGGUCUGAGAGGACGACCAGCCACACUGGGACUGAGACACGGCCCAGACUCCUACGGGAGGCAGCAGUGGGGAAUUUUGGACAAUGGGCGCAAGCCUGAUCCAGCCAUGCCGCGUGCGGGAAGAAGGCCUUCGGGUUGUAAACCGCUUUUGUCAGGGAAGAAAUCUUCUGGGCUAAUACCCUGGGAGGAUGACGGUACCUGAAGAAUAAGCACCGGCUAACUACGUGCCAGCCGCCGCAGUAA